This 57-nucleotide transfer RNA is filed under the name Camelus bactrianus (Bactrian camel). It matches the Rfam family "tRNA", at positions 8 to 63 of the family's 71-position model. From Rfam's summary of the family: Transfer RNA (tRNA) molecules are approximately 80 nucleotides in length. Their secondary structure includes four short double-helical elements and three loops (D, anti-codon, and T loops). Further hydrogen bonds mediate the characteristic L-shaped molecular structure. tRNAs have two regions of fundamental functional importance: the anti-codon, which is responsible for specific mRNA codon recognition, and the 3' end, to which the tRNAs corresponding amino acid is attached (by aminoacyl-tRNA synthetases). tRNAs cope with the degeneracy of the genetic code in two manners: having more than one tRNA (with a specific anti-codon) for a particular amino acid; and 'wobble' base-pairing, i.e. permitting non-standard base-pairing at the 3rd anti-codon position. Lineage: Eukaryota; Metazoa; Chordata; Mammalia; Artiodactyla; Camelidae. RNAcentral also lists the same sequence under 3 other names. The record is from Rfam by way of RNAcentral.
UAGCUCUGUGGUGGAGCAUAUGUUUAGCAUGCAUGAGGUCCUGGGUUCAAUCCCCAG